GGCAAGAUGGCCGAGCGGUCUAAGGCGCCAGCUUCAGGUUCGACUUCUUAGCGGAGUUGAACGUGCUGGUCUAGUAAUAGGCGUGGGUUCGAAUCCCACUCUUGUCA
Non-coding RNA from Trichodelitschia bisporula, 107 nucleotides. NCBI's taxonomy places the organism in Eukaryota, Fungi, Ascomycota, Dothideomycetes, Phaeotrichales, Phaeotrichaceae. The record is from the annotation of a GenBank genome assembly.